UACAGAGGGGGCAAGCGUUGUUCGGAAUUACUGGGCGUAAAGGGCGCGUAGGCGGCCCGCUAAGUCGAACGUGAAAUCCCCGGGCUCAACCCGGGAACUGCGUCCGAUACUGGCGGGCUUGAAUCCGGGAGAGGGAUGCGGAAUUCCAGGUGUAGCGGUGAAAUGCGUAGAUAUCUGGAGGAACACCGGUGGCGAAGGCGGCAUCCUGGACCGGCAUUGACGCUGAGGCGCGAAAGCCAGGGGAGCAAACAGG
RNAcentral lists this ribosomal RNA (253 nucleotides) under uncultured bacterium. RNAcentral describes it as "partial 16S ribosomal RNA". It matches the Rfam family "Bacterial small subunit ribosomal RNA", at positions 524 to 776 of the family's 1533-position model. The record is from RNAcentral.